RNAcentral lists this unclassified non-coding RNA (250 nucleotides) under plant metagenome. Its description in RNAcentral is "partial contains small subunit ribosomal RNA, internal transcribed spacer 1, and 5.8S ribosomal RNA". The record is from RNAcentral.
GUAGGUGAACCUGCGGAAGGAUCAUUAACACGAAUUUUAUCCAAUAUCAAAACCAACCGUGAACUUUUCCCCUCCCUGUAAGUUGAAAGCAAUUCAUUGUGAUCAGCUUACAGGCUAACCCUUUUUUAAUUUUAACCCCUAUUAACUCUUUGUUUUACCUAUUUAUAGGCCAAAACAACUAACUAAAAAAUUGACUAAGACCCAACAAUUUAUUUGUUGUCCUCUUAUUUAUAUUUUUUCUAUUACGAAA